CCCCAUAUAGAUGCAUAAUUUAUUAUCUAUCAAUUGCUUGGUCACCCUCUUGUCGUUGUUUCUUUCAUUCCUAUUCUCUCUCUCUCUCCCACACACACACACUAUCUCUCUCUCUCUCCCACACACACACAGACAUCCUUCCAAGAACUCUUUGUGCACAGAAGAAAAGAUGGAGGACGUCUCAGAUGAAGCAAGCAAUGUAGAUCUUUACUCAAUAAUUCAAUUGAAUUCAACUUUAGAUUUUAUUUUAUAGAUUUGUAUAAGCUCUCACAAUUGUUAAUUUUUCACCUUGUUGAUAAUACUUGAGAGAGAUAACUUCUGUGGUUGUGGAAGAAUUAAUGGUCUGCUCUUUCCGGAACCACUCAAUUUUAAUUUUUUGGCACCUCCUCCACCACCACCAUCACAAGUGCCUCAAAGAGUCCAGCAGGAGCAAGUAGGGUCAAACAACGAAGGAUCUUCACAAAGAAAGAAACGGGACCUUAUUGCAUCUAGGAUUGUGGAAUCAAAAAUUGCAACAGGGAAGACCACAUAUUAUGUUUUAUUACUAUAUGAGUGUUUGAAUAGAAGAAAGAUGGAAGCUAAAGAAAUCCAGCUUUUGCAAAGGGUGGUCUUCCCGGUUACUGAAGAAGUCUAUACGGAGAUAGAAAGCAAGUAUCCAUUGUCAAUGAAAGAACAACUCGAGGGGAGAUGGAUUAUUGAGGUUAGAGAACGCACAGGAACCACCAAAACUAAAAAGGUUUGAUGACCAUGAUAUGCAGCCUUCUUCCCUGCAAUUCUAUGUGUGAAAACUCAAUUUUGAUCAAGGGACUUUGGCAUAACAGCAGGAAGAAGAGAGUUAGGAAGGCAGCGGCUCGAUGAUUCAAUCUCCGCUGAGAUUGGUGCUCUGUGUAACGGGUUCUUGUGGUGUUGCCUCUAUGGGUAGUUCUCAUGGAGGUACUUGUCAGGAAGGUGGUGGUGGAGGGGAAGGCAGAAGUAGUGCCGAAAAAUUGAAGUUAAGUGGCUCCGGAAAGAGCACACCAUUAACUUUCCAACCACCAUAAAAGUUAUCUCUCUCAAGUAUAGUUUACAUCUACAAAGUAAAAUUAAAUAUAUUUUAGAUUUUGUAAAAAACUGUAAAAUCGAAUC
Sesamum indicum (sesame) is the source of this 1125-nucleotide non-coding RNA. The record is from RefSeq and is a predicted model, not a curated record. NCBI's taxonomy places the organism in Eukaryota, Viridiplantae, Streptophyta, Magnoliopsida, Lamiales, Pedaliaceae.